GAUGAACGCUGGCGGCGUGCCUAAUACAUGCAAGUCGAGCGAACGGACGAGAAGCUUGCCUCUCUGAUGUUAGCGGCGGACGGGUGAGCAACACGUGGAUAACCUACCUAUAAGACUGGGAUAACUUCGGGAAACCGGAGCUCAUACCGGAUAAUAUUUUGAACCGCAUGGUUCAAAAGUGAAAGACGGUCUUGCUGUCACUUAUAGAUGGAUCCGCGCUGCAUUAGCUAGUUGGUAAGGUAACGGCUUACCAAGGCAACGAUGCAUAGCCGACCUGAUAGGGUGAUCGGCCACACUGGAACUGAGACACGGUCCAGACUCCUACGGGAGGCAGCAGUAGGGAAUCUUCCGCAAUGGGCGAAAGCCUGACGGAGCAACGCCGCGUGAGUGAUGAAGGUCUUCGGAUCGUAAAACUCUGUUAUUAGGGAAGAACAUAUGUGUAAGUAACUGUGCACAUCUUGACGGUACCUAAUCAGAAAGCCACGGCUAACUACGUG
Molecule: ribosomal RNA, 497 nt
Filed under: uncultured bacterium
Lineage: Bacteria
Description: partial 16S ribosomal RNA
Rfam family: Bacterial small subunit ribosomal RNA
Source: RNAcentral